UGUAGCGGUAGGGCGAAAGGGGGACGCCUUCGGGCGUGCUGAUUCUUAGGUUCAGUCUGUCAACCCUCUUUCUCCCUGCCACCAUA
Molecule: non-coding RNA, 86 nt
Filed under: Acinetobacter proteolyticus
Lineage: Bacteria; Pseudomonadati; Pseudomonadota; Gammaproteobacteria; Moraxellales; Moraxellaceae
Also listed under: 1 other name
Source: RNAcentral